GUGCUCGCCUCCUCAGCACAUAUACUAAAAUUGGAGCAAUAGAGAGAAGGUUAGCACGGCCCUGCACAAGGAUGGCACGCAAAUUUGUGAAAGUUCCACAUUUAA
Molecule: small nuclear RNA, 105 nt
Organism: Neomonachus schauinslandi (Hawaiian monk seal)
Lineage: Eukaryota; Metazoa; Chordata; Mammalia; Carnivora; Phocidae
Source: RefSeq, a predicted model, not a curated record